GUGUGAUUGCAACAUUAUGUAGUCUGACUCUCUUACUCCUCAUGAGGUCGGACCAGGUUAUCUGCGCUUGAUUAGGAUAUUUGCAUAAAUUAUAAGGAGGUACACGAAUGGUAAUAUUCAAGAAUAGAAGUUCAAACGUUGUUAACUAUUGAUGCAUCCCUUUGUGUGACUUGAGAAACGAACGUUAUACUCCAUUGUUUUAAAACAUUUUGGGGUGUUUAACUUUAAUUAAUAAACACACAAGAGCAACAAGGGGUAGAGAAUCUAUUGUACAAUAUUUAAAAAAACGAACCAGAUUCUGUGAUCUAAAGUCUUGCCAGAAUGUGUAUUGAUGUGACAAUCACUCCGUGGUUACAAAUGAAGGAAUGGCGUCGGUGGUACCAAGAGAUAAUGGAAUUUAAAGAUCCAAGAUUUGAUGGGUACCCACUGAUGGACUCGCCCCUGCCAGUGUUGUCCAUCGUGACGCUUUAUUUGAUUUGUAUUUGUUUCGGUUCGCUAUGGAUGAGACGAAGGGACGCCUUCGAGUUGAAGAAAGUUAUCCUGGCUUACAACUGUUUCAUGGUCUUACUGUCAUUAUAUCUCUUUAGCUGGAUGAUCUUCUACGUGUCGCGGUUUGGCUUUUCUUUGGUCUGCACUCAUUGGAUAACUUACGAACUGGAAGAGGAUUUUCCUUUU
Long non-coding RNA from Biomphalaria glabrata, 675 nucleotides. RefSeq lists it as uncharacterized. The transcript has 4 exons. The record is from RefSeq and is a predicted model, not a curated record. NCBI's taxonomy places the organism in Eukaryota, Metazoa, Mollusca, Gastropoda, Planorbidae.